This 70-nucleotide transfer RNA is filed under the name Sorex tundrensis (tundra shrew). Its description in RNAcentral is "tRNA-Gly". The record is from RNAcentral. Lineage: Eukaryota; Metazoa; Chordata; Mammalia; Eulipotyphla; Soricidae.
AUUCUUCUAGUAUUAACUAGUACAACUGACUUCCAAUCAGUUAGUCUCAGAAUAAAUCUGAGGAAGAAUA